UACGUAGGGUGCGAGCGUUGUCCGGAAUUAUUGGGCGUAAAGAGCUCGUAGGCGGUUUGUUGCGUCGGCCGUGAAAACCUGCAGCUUAACUGUGGGCCUGCGGCCGAUACGGGCAGACUUGAGUUCGGUAGGGGAGACUGGAAUUCCUGGUGUAGCGGUGAAAUGCGCAGAUAUCAGGAGGAACACCGGUGGCGAAGGCGGGUCUCUGGGCCGAUACUGACGCUGAGACGCGAAAGCGUGGGGAGCGAACAGG
This 253-nucleotide ribosomal RNA is filed under the name uncultured bacterium. RNAcentral describes it as "partial 16S ribosomal RNA". It matches the Rfam family "Bacterial small subunit ribosomal RNA", at positions 524 to 776 of the family's 1533-position model. The record is from RNAcentral.